Molecule: ribosomal RNA, 442 nt
Filed under: uncultured bacterium
Lineage: Bacteria
Description: partial 16S ribosomal RNA
Rfam family: Bacterial small subunit ribosomal RNA
Source: RNAcentral
GAUGAACGCUGGCGGCGUGCCUUAUACAUGCAAGUCGAGUGGGUUUAGACCCACGGCAAACGGGUGAGUAACACGUAGGUACUUUCCUUGUCACAGGAAUAACCCUCCGAAAGGAGGGCUAAUACCUGAUGUGAUCGCAAGAUUAAAGGGUAUCCGCAAGGAUUACCGGACAAGAAGAGGCCUGCUGCCUAUCAGCUAGUUGGCGGGGUAAAUGCCCACCAAGGCUAUGACGGGUAGCUGGUCUUAUGAGGAUGAUCAGUCACAUGGGCACUGAGACACGGGCCCAACUCCUACGGGAGGGAGCAGUAGGGAAUUUUGCGCAAUGGGCGAAAGGCGGACGCAACGACGCCGCGGGCGGGAUGAAGGCCUUCGGGUCGUAAACCGCUUUUAUAAGGGACGGACUUUGACGGUACCUUAUGAAUAAGAGGUUGCUAACUCUGUG